RNAcentral lists this ribosomal RNA (253 nucleotides) under uncultured bacterium. RNAcentral describes it as "partial 16S ribosomal RNA". It matches the Rfam family "Bacterial small subunit ribosomal RNA", at positions 524 to 776 of the family's 1533-position model. The record is from RNAcentral.
UCCAGAGGUGGCAAGCGUUGUUCGGAAUUACUGGGCGUAAAGGGCGCGUAGGCGGUCUUCUAAGUCUUGUGUGAAAUCCCUCGGCUCAACCGGGGAACUGCGUCUGAUACUGGGUGGCUUGAAUCCGGGAGAGGGAUGCGGAAUUCCAGGUGUAGCGGUGAAAUGCGUAGAUAUCUGGAGGAACACCGGUGGCGAAGGCGGCAUCCUGGACCGGCAUUGACGCUGAGGCGCGAAAGCCAGGGGAGCAAACGGG